AGAGUUUGAUCAUGGCUCAGGAUGAACGCUGGCGGUAUGCUUAACACAUGCAAGUCGAACGAAGCCUUUCGAGGCUUAGUGGCGGACGGGUGAGUAACGCGUGAGAAUCUGCCUUGAGGUUUGGGACAACAGCUGGAAACGGCUGCUAAUACCAAAUAUGCACAACUGUGAAAGGGGUUUUCCCCGCCUCGUGAUGAGCUCGCGUCUGAUUAGGUAGUUGGUUGGGGUAAUGGCCCACCAAGCCUUCGAUCAGUAACUGGUGUGAGAGCACGACCAGUCACACGGGCACUGAGACACGGGCCCGACUCCUACGGGAGGCAGCAGUAAGGAAUAUUGGUCAAUGGAGGCAACUCUGAACCAGCCAUGCCGCGUGAAGGAUGAAGGUCCUCUGGAUUGUAAACUUCUUUUAUGUGGGAAGAAAUGCAUUCUUUAUAGAGUGUUUGACGGUACCAUAGGAAUAAGCACCGGCUAACUCCGUGCCAGCAGCCGCGGUAAUACGGAGGGUGCGAGCGUUAUCCGGAUUCACUGGGUUUAAAGGGUGCGUAGGUGGGGAAGUAAGUCAGUGGUGAAAUCUCCGUGCUUAACAUGGAAACUGCCAUUGAUACUAUUUUUCUUGAAUUUUCCGGAGGUUAGCGGAAUAUGUCAUGUAGCGGUGAAAUGCUUAGAUAUGACAUAGAACACCAAUUGCGAAGGCAGCUAACUACAGGGAUAUUGACACUGAGGCACGAAAGCGUGGGGAUCAAACAGGAUUAGAUACCCCCGUAGUCC
RNAcentral lists this ribosomal RNA (768 nucleotides) under uncultured Segetibacter sp. RNAcentral describes it as "bacterial SSU rRNA". It matches the Rfam family "Bacterial small subunit ribosomal RNA", at positions 8 to 796 of the family's 1533-position model. The record is from RNAcentral. Lineage: Bacteria; Pseudomonadati; Bacteroidota; Chitinophagia; Chitinophagales; Chitinophagaceae.